RNAcentral lists this unclassified non-coding RNA (433 nucleotides) under soil metagenome. RNAcentral's name for it is "partial contains 5.8S ribosomal RNA, internal transcribed spacer 2, and large subunit ribosomal RNA". The stretch from base 1 to 120 matches the Rfam family "5.8S ribosomal RNA", at positions 35 to 154 of the family's 154-position model. The record is from RNAcentral.
GAUGAAGAACGCAGCGAAAUGCGAUACGUAAUGUGAAUUGCAGAAUUCAGUGAAUCAUCGAAUCUUUGAACGCAUAUUGCGCUCUCUGGUAUUCCGGAGAGCAUGCUUGUUUGAGUAUCAGUAAACACCUCAACUUCCAUAUCUUUUUUGAAAUGGGAGUUGGACUUGAGUAAUCCCAACGCUUUUCCUCACCGAAAAGUGGCGGGUUACUUGAAAUGCAGGUGCAGCUGGACUUUUCUCUGAGCUAUAAGCAUAUCUAUUUAGUCUGCCUAAAAAACAGAUUAUUACCUUUGCUGCAGCUAACAUAAAGGAGAUUAGUUCUUGUGCUGACUGAUGCAGGAUUCACAAAGACAGGCUUCGGCCGACUUUGUAAACUCGAUCUCAAAUCAAGUAAGACUACCCGCUGAACUUAAGCAUAUCAAUAAGCGGAGGA